This 253-nucleotide ribosomal RNA is filed under the name uncultured bacterium. RNAcentral describes it as "partial 16S ribosomal RNA". It matches the Rfam family "Bacterial small subunit ribosomal RNA", at positions 524 to 776 of the family's 1533-position model. The record is from RNAcentral.
GACAUAGGUGGCAAACGUUAUCCGGAUUUACUGGGUUUAAAGGGUGCGUAGGUGGGUUUGUAAGUCAGUGGUGAAAUCUCCGAGCUUAACUCGGAAACUGCCAUUGAUACUAUAGAUCUUGAAUUAUCUGGAGGUAAGCGGAAUAUGUCAUGUAGCGGUGAAAUGCUUAGAUAUGACAUAGAACACCAAUUGCGAAGGCAGCUUACUACGGAUAUAUUGACACUGAGGCACGAAAGCGUGGGGAUCAAACAGG